UACGAAGGGAGCUAGCGUUGUUCGGAAUUACUGGGCGUAAAGGGCGCGUAGGCGGCUUCGAUAGUUGGGCGUGAAAUGCCUGGGCUCAACCCAGGAAUUGCGCUCAAUACUGUGAGGCUCGAGUGUGGGAGAGGAUAGUGGAAUUCCCAGUGUAGAGGUGAAAUUCGUAGAUAUUGGGAAGAACACCAGCGGCGAAGGCGGCUAUCUGGACCACAACUGACGCUGAGGCGCGAAAGCGUGGGGAGCAAACAGG
Molecule: ribosomal RNA, 253 nt
Filed under: uncultured bacterium
Lineage: Bacteria
Description: partial 16S ribosomal RNA
Rfam family: Bacterial small subunit ribosomal RNA
Source: RNAcentral